RNAcentral lists this ribosomal RNA (523 nucleotides) under Actinomyces oris. Its description in RNAcentral is "bacterial SSU rRNA". It matches the Rfam family "Bacterial small subunit ribosomal RNA", at positions 10 to 522 of the family's 1533-position model. The record is from RNAcentral. Lineage: Bacteria; Bacillati; Actinomycetota; Actinomycetes; Actinomycetales; Actinomycetaceae.
AGUUUGAUCCUGGCUCAGGACGAACGCUGGCGGCGUGCUUAACACAUGCAAGUCGAACGGUGAAGGGACCAGCUUGCUGGUUCUGGAUGAGUGGCGAACGGGUGAGUAACACGUGAGUAACCUGCCCCCUUCUUCUGGAUAACCGCAUGAAAGUGUGGCUAAUACGGGAUAUUCUGGGUCUGKSGCAUGAUGGGCCCGGGAAAGAUAUUGUUUCGGUGGGGGAUGGGCUCGCGGCCUAUCAGCUUGUUGGUGGGGKGAUGGCCUACCAAGGCGGUGACGGGUAGCCGGCCUGAGAGGGUGGACGGUCACACUGGGACUGASACACGGCCCAGACUCCUACGGGAGGCAGCAGUGGGGAAUAUUGCACAAUGGGCGCAAGCCUGAUGCAGCGACGCCGCGUGAGGGAUGGAGGCCUUCGGGUUGUAAACCUCUUUCRMCAGUGAAGCAAGGCCUGCUCCUUGUGGGUGGGUUGACGGUAGCUGGAUAAGAAGCGCCGGCUAACUACGUGCCAGCAGCCGCGGUA